GCAAGUCGAGGGGUAACAGGAAAGCUUGCUUUUGCUGACGACCGGCGCACGGGUGAGUAACACGUAUGCAACCUACCUUUUACAGGAGAAUAACCUAGAGAAAUUUGGACUAAUACUCCAUAACGUUUAUUGAUCGCAUGAUUAAUAAAUUAAAGCUCCGGCGGUAAAAGAUGGGCAUGCGUCCUAUUAGUUAGUUGGUAAGGUAACGGCUUACCAAGACUAUGAUAGGUAGGUGGUCUGAGAGGACGAUC
RNAcentral lists this ribosomal RNA (251 nucleotides) under uncultured bacterium. Its description in RNAcentral is "partial 16S ribosomal RNA". It matches the Rfam family "Bacterial small subunit ribosomal RNA", at positions 57 to 305 of the family's 1533-position model. The record is from RNAcentral.